Molecule: ribosomal RNA, 808 nt
Filed under: Clavibacter sp.
Lineage: Bacteria; Bacillati; Actinomycetota; Actinomycetes; Micrococcales; Microbacteriaceae
Description: bacterial SSU rRNA
Rfam family: Bacterial small subunit ribosomal RNA
Source: RNAcentral
UCUUGCUCUGGCGGAUCAGUGGCGAACGGGUGAGUAACACGUGAGUAACCUGCCCCCGACUCUGGGAUAACUGCUAGAAAUGGUAGCUAAUACCGGAUAUGACGACUGGCCGCAUGGUCUGGUCGUGGAAAGAACUUCGGUUGGGGAUGGACUCGCGGCCUAUCAGGUAGUUGGUGAGGUAAUGGCUCACCAAGCCUACGACGGGUAGCCGGCCUGAGAGGGUGACCGGCCACACUGGGACUGAGACACGGCCCAGACUCCUACGGGAGGCAGCAGUGGGGAAUAUUGCACAAUGGGCGAAAGCCUGAUGCAGCAACGCCGCGUGAGGGAUGACGGCCUUCGGGUUGUAAACCUCUUUUAGUAGGGAAGAAGCGAAAGUGACGGUACCUGCAGAAAAAGCACCGGCUAACUACGUGCCAGCAGCCGCGGUAAUACGUAGGGUGCAAGCGUUGUCCGGAAUUAUUGGGCGUAAAGAGCUCGUAGGCGGUUUGUCGCGUCUGCUGUGAAAUCCCGAGGCUCAACCUCGGGUCUGCAGUGGGUACGGGCAGACUAGAGUGCGGUAGGGGAGAUUGGAAUUCCUGGUGUAGCGGUGGAAUGCGCAGAUAUCAGGAGGAACACCGAUGGCGAAGGCAGAUCUCUGGGCCGUAACUGACGCUGAGGAGCGAAAGCAUGGGGAGCGAACAGGAUUAGAUACCCUGGUAGUCCAUGCCGUAACGUUGGGAACUAGAUGUGGGCACCAUUCCACGGUCUCCGUGUCGCAGCUAACGCAUUAAGUUCCCCGCCCUGGGGAGUACGGGCCGCAAAGGCU